RNAcentral lists this ribosomal RNA (480 nucleotides) under uncultured bacterium. RNAcentral's name for it is "partial 16S ribosomal RNA". It matches the Rfam family "Bacterial small subunit ribosomal RNA", at positions 28 to 507 of the family's 1533-position model. The record is from RNAcentral.
GACGAACGCUGGCGGCGUGCUUAACACAUGCAAGUCGAACGAUGAAGAAAAGAAUCGAAGCUUCGGCAGAAAUUCAUUUCGGAUUAGUGGCAGACGGGUGAGUAACGCGUGAGCAACCUACCUCUUACAAAGGGAUAGCCUCGGGAAACCGGGAUUAAUACCAUAUAACAUUGCGACGAAGCAUUUCGAUGCAAUCAAAGCUACGGCGGUAAGAGAUGGGCUCGCGUCCCAUUAACCGGAUGGUGAGGUAACGGCUCACCAUAGUGACGAUGGGUAACCGGCCUGAGAGGGCGAACGGUCACACUGGAACUGAGACACGGUCCAGACUCCUACGGGAGGCAGCAGUGGGGAAUAUUGCACAAUGGAGGGAACUCUGAUGCAGCGACGCCGCGUGAGUGAUGAAGGAAUUCGUUUCGUAAAACUCUGUUCUAUGGGAAGAAAAGGACUGUACCAUAGGAGAAAGCGCCGGCUAAAUACGUG